ACGGGUGAGUAAUGUCUGGGGAUCUGCCCGAUAGAGGGGGAUAACCACUGGAAACGGUGGCUAAUACCGCAUAACGUCGCAGGACCAAAGAGGGGGACCUUCGGGCCUCUCACUAUCGGAUGAACCCAGAUGGGAUUAGCUAGUAGGCGGGGUAACGGCCCACCUAGGCGACGAUCCCUAGCUGGUCUGAGAGGAUGACCAGCCACACUGGAACUGAGACACGGUCCAGACUCCUACGGGAGGCAGCAGUGGGGAAUAUUGCACAAUGGGCGCAAGCCUGAUGCAGCCAUGCCGCGUGUAUGAAGAAGGCCUUCGGGUUGUAAAGUACUUUCAGCGGGGAGGAAGGCGAUAAGGUUAAUAACCUUGUCGAUUGACGUUACCCGCAGAAGAAGCACCGGCUAACUCCGUGCCAGCAGCCGCGGUAAUACGGGGGGUGCAAGCGUUAAUCGGAAUUACUGGGCGUAAAGCGCACGCAGGCGGUCUGUUAAGUCAGAUGUGAAAUCCCCGGGCUUAACCUGGGAACUGCAUUUGAAACUGGCAGGCUUGAGUCUCGUAGAGGGGGGUAGAAUUCCAGGUGUA
Molecule: ribosomal RNA, 579 nt
Filed under: uncultured bacterium
Lineage: Bacteria
Description: bacterial SSU rRNA
Rfam family: Bacterial small subunit ribosomal RNA
Source: RNAcentral